UUUGAAAAGAUAACAUUAAAUGAUGUUGAGUUUACAUGCUUUUAUGUGUAUGAAACUUGCAAUUUUUCAAUCUAUUAAUGUUUAUUUUUCUUUUAAAUGAUGAUUCUUCUACCACAGUAUCCAAAAGUAGUGACGGAUUCAGAUGCUAUAAUAUCCAGCAAACACGUCUCUACUCUUAACACAUGAAGCUCUAACUUCUGGCAAAUGUGAAGUAUAUGUUGAAACCUAUAAGAGAAUUGAUAUCUAAGAGCAUUAUUAACCCUGUAUUUUAGGGGGUUCUUAGAGGAAAGUAUGAUUAAAAGAAAAAGAAAAAAAGCAAUUAAGACAAGAAACGCCGCUUGAAUUGGGACAAUAAAAGUCAUCUCUUAAUAAGAAUACGUGUUGAGACUUGGCUUUUCCUUCUUCCUCUUUUGAUUCUCCUCUUGGAUCAAUCUCCGGCGGAGGAGGGGAAACAAGCGGCUGCUUCCGGUUAUUACGGUGGAUUCUUUGAAGCUCAAGGCACAUGGAACGCGCGUAAGGACGAGAGAAGGAGUCGCACAACCGUGAGGAGUCACGUAAUAAGGGAGGUGAACCCCGGGAUGAAUCGGUGAGUUCGGUUGCGGAAGUUUCUUGAUGUCAUCAACGUCCGGUUUACUUCGGUGGUUGGAUAAGCGAUGGAAGUUGUGAGGAGGAGGAGGAGGAGGAGAGAGAUCAAGAUCGAACGGUUCAUGUGUGUCGUCGCCUUUAGUUACUAAUGCUAUAUCUGUAACAAAGUUUCAAAGCGUCACAGAAUCAACAAGAGUAAGUACAAUACCACAAUUUCUCUGUUUCGUUCCCCUGUCCUUGUGUAAACAGAACGAGUCUGGUCUUAUCUAUAACCUGCAUUUAUUGUCUUUGAUGCAUGUUUUCACUUUCAAGCAACUACAUUCAGCGACUGGUGGGUUUAGCAAGUCUAAUGUUGUUGGUCACGGUGGGUUUGGAUUGGUUUAUCGUGGUUUGCUUAACAACGGGAGAAAAGUUGCUAUCAAGUUUAUUGAUAAUGCAGGAAAUCAAGGUGAAGAAGAGUUCAAGAUGGAGGUUGAGCUGCUAAGCCGUCUGCGUUCACCGUACUUGUUGUCUCUUCUUGGUUAUUGCUCAGACAAUAGUCACAAACUGCUUGUGUAUGAGUACAUGCCAAAUGGCUGUCUGCAGCAACACCUGUAUCCUAUUAAUAGUUUCAAAGGCCUCCUGGACCAAUUCCAUGGUCAAUGCUCGGAUUAGAAGUCUACACAGGAGCCAUUGAUAACUUUGGUUUUGAGGAUUACUUGAAUGGUAAUCAAUACCAUUAAAAGGGGAUCAUUCCCAUUUUUUACCCUUAAUGAAAUACUUAAGUUUUCCAAUUUUGACCUUACUUUUAUGAACAAAUUAAAAUUAUCAUUAAUGGCAUUAUUGUCAUUCGAAAUUUGGGCUUAUCAUUAAAUUUAAAUGGACUUUGAUUUGGUCGUAUUAGUUUCACCGCCACUUUUAAAACAAGAGAAUUAUAUACUUAAAUGAAAUCUACAAUCGGGCUUAAAUAAUUAACUUCUUUGGGCUUAUAUAACUACAACAAUAUACUUAGAUAAAACCUAAAUUCAUGCUUAAGGAUUAUGAUGUUACCUUGAUUUACACGUACCUUUGAUUUAAGUAAGCGAAUAUACCCCAUUAUUAAUACCCGUUUAUAAUCUAAAACGAAGGUACACCCAGGAUAUUAUUCCAAAUUUAUAAUCAGAAUAUUCUUCUAACUCCACAAUAUUUGCGAUAUCAAACUGUUUUGGUAAUCUGAGAAGCGUAGCCUAUAAACUUUUGAUAGCCAAAUCUGUUAAUUAAUCAAAUGGGUUAUGUUUAUUUAUAAUCCAUUUCAUAGCCUAUAAACAUUUUUGAUAAUAACAAAUAAAUUAAAAUCUCCAAUAAUUUAAAAAGUAAUAUUAGAUAUUGAAAUUUUCUAACUAAAUGAUUUUAAGACUUUAUCAUAAAACUAAAAAAAAAUUGGACAGCUUUAUAUGUCUAAAAAUACAACCAUUCUUUAACUUAUUUACAAACAUAAAACGGUUGUGUGAGACAUUUUAAAAAACACAAUUUCUUCAUACUGUACAAACUAUAAAGUUUCUUAUUCUAUAUAAUCAAAUCAUAUGACUUAUAUUUAAUUUAUAGAAAUAUUCAACUAUUCAUAUAUCCACCAUUUUUAUAUAACUAAGUAACAAAUAACUGACCCGCAUAAUUGAAAAUUGAUCAUGUGACAUUUUAUAUAAUCAAAAUAAAAGAUUUAUCGAUCUAUUUGUUGAUAAAACAACAAAAAUAGAACCCGCGCUUUUUAAGCGCGGGUCAAAAAUCUAGUUGUCCUUUACUCCUAUUGCAUUACAUGUUUCUCAAUGUUUAACCUUUUUUUUUUUUUUAAGAACCCCUAAAUAAAAGACUCUCAUUGGAGCACCAAAAUGUUGGUGUCUCUUAGCUAAAUCUAUUAAGUGACAUUUAAUAGUUAAAAAUGAUUAAGAGACCCAUAGUGGAUUUUUGGAUUAAUGAUGCUCUAAUUAACUAACUUGGGGGCUGGGAUCUUUCUUUGUUAAAGCAAAAAAAAAAAAAUCUAACAAUACUAAAAGCAGGAUAUCAAGCCCUUUAAGCAUGUCCACGUCAGCCAGUAAUAUUGCAACAAUCAUCCACGUCAUCUUUGAUGAAUUGCCAUGUCAUAAAAGCUUUGUUCGGAAAAAAAAUACCGAAACUUUCGUGUGGUCAUGAUAUUUUCUAAUGGCCCAGUCAAGCCCACUUCUCGAAACGGCUCACACCUUUGUCGUCUCAGUUUUGUAUCCCUGCAAAUCUCCGUUACCACAACCCUUUCUUUAUCAAUCAAUUAUACCUUUUACUCCUUUUUUAUGGUUUCCUUUCACCUCCUCCCUAUGUAUCUUCUCCUAUAAAGAUCGUUUCUUCAAAAUUUUAACCCAAACCAAAAUUGAAAAACCUCCACUAAUGAAGGUAAAGCCUAUGGCCAUGAAAAAUAAAUAAUUCAGAGUCUCUUGCUCUUCCUCUACUCUACAUACCCGGUAAUCAAACCCGCAGUAUUCAUAGCUAUAAAACGGCGAAAUCCACCGCGUUUGCCAUCAAGUUUGCUUGCUUCCAUUGUUGCAGCUUCAUAACUCGUGCCCUGUUUGUCAUAUGAGUUCCCCACAGACGAUGCUGAUUACAAGUUCAUGACUCAUGGAGGUCAGACCAGUGGGGAAGUCGGACAACGAACGGUUGAGAGUUCCCCGACUCCGAGGAGGUUUAGUGUAUCAUAUCCAUGGCCACUCAGGAGACAUGAUACGAAUUAGGAUUCUGUGAGUGGAUCUGAUAUCGAUACUAGAAAUUCAUGGCAUACACCGAAAUUCUCUAAACAUUUGAAGAUCAAGACGAGUUAAAAGAGGUUUUGACCUUCGAAUGCUAGCAAGAAGGCGGAUCAAUGGGAAGCUUUUCGAAUAUACUCUGUACACAUUCCUUUUACCUGUCCUUCUCUCCAAUAUUUGUGUUGCCAGUGUUAACAAUGGGUUAUGGAGAUGGGGAAGAAGCUUGCAAAGAGGAUAAGGAAGCAAAGGGCCUUACAUUGUCCUGAGUCUAAUGGUGGCUUUGAAAAUUUAUUUUCUACACCGAAGAAAAGAAGAAGCCAGUGACUGUUUUAACGUUUUGUUGUCUUCUAGGCUCUGUAAAUGUUCUCAAAACUGGUGUUUUGAUGAUUAUGUACCUCACAUUUAUUUUUCUUUCUAUGGAUAGGUUAAAUCACAGCUCAUUGAAUGAAAAAAAGUACCUAACUCCGUAUUUUCCAAUGGUCUUACAUAAUCGUCUCCAAUGGCAUCAGGGGCCUUAUGCUACUGUCGAUAUACUACAGAUUCCACCAAUAUCAUAUCUUCAAAGCCAAAAAGGGGGAAGAUGAACAUGGUGACUUGAAGCCAGCCUCUAUCGCUGAGGGUGGAAACUGCAGCAAACCAUAGUAGACACUAGAAGGUGUUCGCAGGUUGAAGCAAAAGAAGUUUUCUUUUCUGUUACAAAGCUUUCCCAAUCUAAAGACACUGGUUUGGGAAAGAAUGGUUUACUUGAUCAUAAAGGAACUUUCUCCAUCAGCGGAUAAGGUUUGUAGUUUGUAAUUUGCUUAAGUAGCUGAAUCCUAACACUAAUACUGAGGGUAUAGUUUCUGAAUUCUGAUAAUUUGUUUGUUUUUCUAUGGUUAGUAUUGUUACAAGCUCCCUGAUCAGCGAUAUGAAUAGCAAGAUUGAUAUGUAUCUUGCAAAUGUAGGGAUGUGUAAAGGAAGAUGAAAUCUAACAAGUCAGUGUCGGAGGUUAAUGAUGAAACUGAGGGCGAGGAUGGUAGUAAAUAGCUUUGUAGUUGAUCAUUUUAAAUUACGUUUCAUUGUGUAUAAUCAAAUUCUUGAUGAGAACGAUGACUAAGGUUGAAGUUUGUAGCAUAAGUACAGAUGGCUGAUCUAUUUGUCUUCUUUAUGUUUUCGUAAAAUUGUUAUGGGAAUGAUUAAAAGAUAGUGUUGUUCUUUAUUAUUCUCUUUGUUUUAAUACUUCCACGAAAUGUUUUAUUCCCUACAUGAUUUAGAUUCUUACUUUAUAUAUUUGCGAUCUCAUAUUUCUAUUUUGACAUGUGAUCAGUUCAAAUAAAAGGUUAGAUGAAAAUUGGUAAAUAAAAAUUUAUUUAUUUGGCCAAGAUAAUAUCAUUGUUUCAAACUUGUGUCCAAUUCUAAAUUUACACAUUUCUAACCUAUUAAAUAUAAUAUACUUUUGUAGAUAAAUUAUCAAAAAGAAUUUAAAGCAACAAAUUAGUGAUAAAACAGUAUAAGGAAUUGUAUUUAUCUUUGACGAUGCAACUAAAUAAAACAUAAAAUAUUCAGAAAUUUACUAAGUAUAACUAUGAAAUAGUAAUAAAUUAAUAAGUAAAAUGAAUAAAAUUUGAUAUCUAAUAUGAGUUUGCAAAGAAGCAAGAAGAAAAUAAAACAUUAAGGGUUAUAAAAUGGUAAAAUAAAGAGGAAAUAAACACACAAAUUUAUUACUUCAAUAUAUAUGUGAAUAAGUUUGAAUCAAGUUGAUUCUGUUUAUUUUGCUACCAAAACAAAUUUGAACCAAGUAGUACACAAUAAAUCUAUCAAAUUUUCAAAAUAAAUUAUUAAUUAUAUUUUUUUUAAAUAUCUAGAAUAUAAAAUUAAACAUCAAUAUAUAUAUAUAUAUAAUUAAAAUCAUAUAUUAAGGAUCUUUGAUAUAUCAUGCAUAUUAUAGUAUUUUUUACAAAUGGUAAGAAUACAUUCUAACAUCGUAUUCACAUAUCAUUCAAAUCAUAAGAAACCACAAUAAUUCUAUUAAGAAAAUAUACCCAAAAUGCACUCAUACAUCUUAUGGCCAAACUUACAAUCAAAUGUACAUUAUGUCUAGCCACUUACAAACCCAUUCAUAUUAGUAAAUUUAUAAAUAAAAUUUGUGUUUACUUAUUUAAAUUUCAAAAUAGAUUUUAUUUAUUUAUUUAUUUUAAAGGUCCAUCCUAAUAUUAUUGAGAAAUACACAUCACAGAAAAAUUUUACCAAAAAAAAACUAUAUACAAAAACAUAAUUCGUUAUAGGUUUGCUUUUCUAGAGGUACAAACAAAAAAUAUAAACUGAAAGAAAAAUUAAAAAAAAUGUUUUAAUCUUGAAAUAUCGCACAUGUAACUUUUGUACAUUUCUUCAUAUGAAAUGGCCAAUCAAUAAAUUUUUGACAAUUUCAAAGCAUAUAAGAGUAAAAAUAAAUUAUCUUGAUAACAAUCACUAAUCCAAACAUAUAUAAAGGUGAAUGGAAAAUAAAUUUCAUUAUCAUGUUUGAUUUUUUCUAAUUGAUUUUUUAAAACAAUACAUAAAUUAUUAUUCACCUCAGCAUUUGGAAUCAAAUAUUAUUCUUACUUUACCUAAGAUGAAGCUAAUAAAAACAUAUAUUAUAUAGAAGACUAAUGUCACAUUCAAAAAGCAACAACAUAUACCUUAAAAAACUCAAUCUAUGUACAUUUUUUUUAUGGUUUAAGAAAUUUUCUGAUUUAUUAAUUCUAAAUUCAUUAAAUUGUUUUAAAAAUACAAAAAAUCAAUAAAUAUUACAGAGAAACUAUUUUUGGUCUCUUAAUUGACCGGAAAUAAUAUCUAAAAGCAUUUUCCGCGCGUAGCGCGGCCAGAAACUCUAGUACAUUAUAAUGAGUGAAUGCAACUCCAACUGAUAUUCAUAACAUAAGAAUUUCACAAAAUUAUACUUCGACAUGAUUUAAUUAAUUCAGUUUGAAAGCCGCCUUAAUUGGAUGAUCAAAACGCAAUCAUAAUGCUAUUCCUCACGAUGCAAACAUACAGGUGGGAUCAGGUCUGGAUCGUUCAAGAUACGAUAAGAUGUUUAGUGACAAGAGGAGUCCAACCCUCUUAAAAAGUGUGCAGCCAACUCCACAACAUAUAAACGUUAUGGAGUCCCAGCUGCAAAUGAGUUAUUGUGAAAAGAAGUUCUCAACACCAUAGUCGAAAGAAUGGCACAUUAAUGUGGAUAAUAUAAGUUCACACAUCAGGAAUUUGACUAGGAUAUGAGUAAUAUAUAUAGGUUUAAGGUCAAUUUAAUUAUAAGUAAUUGAUUUUAAGUUGGAAACCGAUGAUAAACCUGAAUUUAACAUGAUAUCAGAGUCCGAACACACCAUGCCCAACUGAAUUAAAAUCAAUCAAGCCAAUCAAAGGAGGCCAUAUUGAUCCUAAAACCGAACUUGACCCGAAUUGUCCGGAGGUCGGACUGAACUAAAUCCUAGUCUGGGAUAUUGUCGAGAUUAAUGGUUAUAAAAGCCAUCAUCUCGAGAGAGGGUGUGGAGAGUAUAAGCUCCCACAUCAAGAGUUUGUCUGGAACAUGAGUAAUAUAUAAAUAUUUAAGAUCAAUCCAAUUGGUUUUAAGUUGGAAGCCCAUGAGAAGCUUGAAUUUAACAUUUAAUGUAACAGUGAAGAACUUGAUGUUUGAUAUGCUUCAAUAGAUCUUUUUUUUUUUGCAAAUGCAUAUGGUACGUAUGUAUAAGAAGGAAAGGGAUAACUAUAUAUUAUAAAUUCACACGGUUAAAUAUAUAUAGGCAAAAGUACAACACAUAUUUUGUAUAUUUUCUUAUCCUAAUCAAAAUAUAUAGUUCUUAUAUUAGAUUAGAUCCUUAUUACAAUAUAUGUGCUAACUCAGCUCCUCUACGUCUCCGCCUCCACAUCCGAAAAGGAUCAUAAGAUUGUUGUCAGCUUCGUCGUCUUCAGCAAGAUUAGAGAAACCUCAGUAUAGACAGCUGUGGAUGAACAUUACAAAUAAGCUUGCCGACCAAAGCCCAAGCCCGUUAUAAGUAUCAAAAUAUUUAUUAUUGUUAGAGCAUGUACAUUGAGGUAUCAUAAGAGGGUCAUGGGUCUGGGUUCACAGGUUUUUAAUUUGAAAAGAAAAAGGAAAAUGGGUAAUAUUAAGUGAACCGGGCCGCUCUCGUGAACUUGUGUGAGACGAGUUCAACACACGUGGAGGCACCAGAUUGGCUGGACGGAGUCGUGAUGACGACGCGGAAAGGAGGUGUUUCGCGUUAUUCUCCUCAUUUCCUCUUCUCUCCCAAAUAGCUAGGGUUUGCGACUCGAGAGGCGAUUCUUGUAGCUAGGGCGAUCAAGAGGUCUUUUGUCCAUAAAAUCGAGGAGGUAAUGUCUCUUGAUCGAUCUCAGGUCCAUUUUCGAGUAGAGUUACGUUGUUAGGGUUUGUUUAUACGGGUUUCAUCGAUUCGAUCUGAAGUUGAAUUGGGGGUUUCUCCUCCAAUAGAGUCUGGAGGAGAGAUCGAUUAUGAGGUUUGUAGUUAAUCGAUCUGUUUGUUAGGGUUCCAUCGAGUCUGAGAUUUGAAAUCGAGGGUUUAUUUGUUAAGGUUCCAUCGAGUCUGAGAUUUCUUUGUUAGGGUUCGAUCGAGUCUGAGAUUUGAAAUCGAUUAGAGGGUUUUUUUAUUUAUGGUUGAAUAGAGUCGAUCUGAAAUCGAAUUGGGGGUUUAUUUGUUUGGGUUCUUUGUUUGGGUUCGUUAAAGAUUGGGUUGUGUUUCCGAGUAGAUUUGAAAUCGAUUAGAGAUUAGUGUUUCUCGUACUUAACUGUUUCUCUUACUUAGUUUAAUCAUAUUGGGUUGUGUUUCAUUGUUUGGGUUCUGUUCUUUGUUUCUCUUACCGGUUCGUUUAAUCAUAUUAUUUGUAGUUAGUAUGUUCUAAUCAUUUCUUCUUUCUGGUGCAGAUGGAUCCCGCAGAAGAAAUAAGACAUUCAAAGAAACAAAGGGACUACUGCUACAUGUUAUGGUUCGUCUAGGAUUCACAGUACGGGAUUCCAAGAAGGUGUGCUUGCGGUGGGAAAAUCAUUGACGAGGUCCGGGGGAAGGAAGACUACGACAGUCAUCCUGGAAAGCGCUACUCCACGUGCAUCAACUAUGAAGUAAGUUUUAUUUUCUUAAUUAUGUUCUUAAAAUAAAAAUAACAGGAACUGUCUAUAAUAUUUGUUUUCUGUUGUCAACAAGGAUGAUGGGUUGCAUUAUAGUCAUCCUUGGGUGGUUGGUGUCCAGGAUGAGAUCGAAAGGCUGAGGAAGCGUCUGGAGGAUGCUGAGGAGGAGAUCAAGGGGGUGUGGAAUCUCAAGUUCCAGAUUCAGACCCUGCAGGAACAGGUAAGAAGCCUCACUGUCCAGGUCGGUACCCUGGAGAAGGUGUGCUUCGACUGAAAAUCAGAGGUUGCUAUGUCACGGGUUGCUAUGUCUGUUGCUGGAUCACGGGUUGCUAUGUCUGGAUCACGGGUUGCUAUGUCUGUUGCUGGUUUAAUAAGUCUGUUGUUGCUUUAUUUGUACGGGAUCAGUGUAGUAUUUUGUUAGUUUCUACACUGAUGUUGCUUUAUGAUGAACGGAUGCAGUGGAGUCUUUCUCACACUGCUACUAUGUCCUUUUGUUUCACGGGUUGUACUAUGUUUCGACACUAGUUUAUUUAAGUCACGGGUCAUGUAACAAAGGGUCAUGUAACAAAGAAGCAUAUAUAAAUAUGCUCUUGAUGUAUGUUUCUAAAUCAGAACUCAACUACUUCUCUUUCUGUCUCUGUCUUUGAAUUUCAAAAUUUCAAGAACACAACUUCUGAAACACUUGAUCAACUACUUCUCUUCCUUGAUGUCUUUCUGAAACACUUGAUCAACUACAAACGAAGAGGACAACUACGCUUCUUCUGCCUCACCCAACCGAGAACAACACAACCAACGUAAGCUCUUCAUUACAUUAUAAUACUUAGGUUAAACGGGAUCUACAUGAUCAGAAGUGGAACAAUACUAGAUUGUGAAUCCAAAUUAUAAUGAUGAUCAAUCAUAUUGUUGGUCCAAUACAUGGCUAAUAUCCAACUUAGGCAAUGUUAAUUUAAAAUUGAUAAUUUUUAUUUUUUUGAAAAAAGGAAGAAUGUCAAGCUCAUCAAAUGAUGAAGUAUAUGAAGUUUUUGAAGAAAUGGUGGACCAACAAAUCGAUGAUUUCAUCGACUCUGUUCUAACCAAAGAGCCGAAGAGACGAGCAUACAUCGAAAGAGAUCGGGAACAAGGACACAAUCAACUAUGGCAGGAUUACUUCAGUGAAAAUCCUACAUACACACACGACAUGUUUAGGCGGCGUUUUCGAAUGAACAAGUCUUUGUUCCUUCGCAUUGUCGAACACCUAGGUAAUGAAAUUCCAUACUUUCAGCAACGAAGAAAUGGUCAUGGAAGGAACGGCCUCUCUACACUUCAAAAAUGCAGUUCAGCCAUACGAUCGUUGGCAUACGGUCAAGCGGGAGAUGUCAAUGACGAAUAUCUCCGACUUGCGGCAAGUACUGCAAUUUUAUGUUUGGAGAAUUUUGCGGAAGCGAUAAUACAAUUGUUUGGAGAUGAGUAUCUAAGAAGACCUACAACAGAAGAUCUUCAAAGACUACUUGACGUUGGAGAGGCACGCGGGUUUCUGGGGAUGAUAGGCAGCA
Molecule: RNA transcript, 9956 nt
Organism: Brassica napus (rape)
Lineage: Eukaryota; Viridiplantae; Streptophyta; Magnoliopsida; Brassicales; Brassicaceae
Gene name: probable serine/threonine-protein kinase PBL22
Exons: 10
Source: RefSeq, a predicted model, not a curated record